UACAGGGGGUGCAAACGUUGCUCGGAAUCAUUGGGCGUAAAGCGCACGUAGGCGGUUCGUUAUGUCGGAUGUGAAAGCCCUUGGCUUAACCGAGGAAGUGCAUCCGAAACUGGCGAGCUAGAGUACUAAAGAGGAUCGCGGAAUUCCCGGUGUAGAGGUGAAAUUCGUAGAUAUCGGGAGGAACACCAGUGGCGAAGGCGGCGACCUGGGCCAAUACUGACACUGAGGUGCGAAAGCGUGGGGAGCAAACAGG
Molecule: ribosomal RNA, 253 nt
Filed under: uncultured bacterium
Lineage: Bacteria
Description: partial 16S ribosomal RNA
Rfam family: Bacterial small subunit ribosomal RNA
Source: RNAcentral